GGGGUUGUAGCUCAGUGGUAGAGCGCUUGCCUCAUAUGUGUGAGGCAUGGGGUUUGACCCUCAGCACCA
Molecule: transfer RNA, 69 nt
Filed under: Marmota marmota marmota (Alpine marmot)
Lineage: Eukaryota; Metazoa; Chordata; Mammalia; Rodentia; Sciuridae
Also listed under: 2 other names
Rfam family: tRNA
About the family: Transfer RNA (tRNA) molecules are approximately 80 nucleotides in length. Their secondary structure includes four short double-helical elements and three loops (D, anti-codon, and T loops). Further hydrogen bonds mediate the characteristic L-shaped molecular structure. tRNAs have two regions of fundamental functional importance: the anti-codon, which is responsible for specific mRNA codon recognition, and the 3' end, to which the tRNAs corresponding amino acid is attached (by aminoacyl-tRNA synthetases). tRNAs cope with the degeneracy of the genetic code in two manners: having more than one tRNA (with a specific anti-codon) for a particular amino acid; and 'wobble' base-pairing, i.e. permitting non-standard base-pairing at the 3rd anti-codon position.
Source: Rfam by way of RNAcentral